ACUCAAAUGAAUUGACGGGGGCCCGCACAAGCGGUGGAGUAUGUGGUUUAAUUCGAUGAUACGCGAGGAACCUUACCAGGGUUUGACAUUGCAGAUGAGUUAUGAGAGAUCAUGACGCCCUUAUGGGGUCUGUAACAGGUGCUGCAUGGCUGUCGUCAGCUCGUGCCGUGAGGUGUUGGGUUAAGUCCCGCAACGAGCGCAACCCUUAUGUCUAGUUACCAGCAGGCGAGCUGGGGACUCUAGACAGACUGCCGGUGACAAACCGGAGGAAGGUGGGGAUGACGUCAAGUCCUCAUGGCCCUUAUGUCCUGGGCUACACACGUACUACAAUGGCCGGUACAAAGCGAAGCGAAACCGCGAGGUGGAGCAAACCGCAGAAAGCCGGUCUCAGUUCAGAUUGGAGUCUGAAACCCGACUCCAUGAAGGUGGAAUCGCUAGUAAUCGCGCAUCAGCAUGGCGCGGUGAAUACGUUCCCGGGCCUUGUACACACCGCCCGU
This 497-nucleotide ribosomal RNA is filed under the name uncultured bacterium. RNAcentral's name for it is "bacterial SSU rRNA". It matches the Rfam family "Bacterial small subunit ribosomal RNA", at positions 899 to 1397 of the family's 1533-position model. The record is from RNAcentral.